Gallus gallus (chicken) is the source of this 1029-nucleotide long non-coding RNA. Lineage: Eukaryota; Metazoa; Chordata; Aves; Galliformes; Phasianidae. The record is from Ensembl.
GUUCAGGAAAAUAGAUCUGGGGGCACAAAGACUGGUUGCCUCCAGGACCUUCCUAUGUGGACAGAGUUGUGCUAUUGACUACUCUGAAGCCGGCAGUUGGAAUUAAGUUGGAAACUGUGUUGCAAAAGCAUGCUUUAUAUCCUGACUUUGAGUCCUGCUCAAAGUCAAAACAACAGGGGUUUGUUUAAGGAGAGCAGUUAUUUGGGAGGGCACAUCUGUCUGGGACCAAGACGCUGUGUGUGGGAGGACUUCUGAUAGAGAUGAGAUGCACAGAUACUGUAUAAACGUUAGGAGGUUGGGAUGAAGUCUUUUUCAAAGGUAGGCACUCCUGUAUAGCCAACAGCCUGCUAGUUUCCUUCGGAUUUUGUCGUGCUCCUUUUGUUACAAGGAUUCAGGACUUUGCUUCCACUCUGAAAAGUUGAAACCCUCUGCCUUUGAAGCUGACCCAUGCCCUCCCUCCCUAACACAGAAUUUGUACCCUGGGCUAAUAGAAAUAGGGUGUAUUUGACCUGGUAAAUUGAUGGGAGAAAAUGCAAGGAGAUCUUUGUGUGGCACAUUGAUCUCAAACCACCAGACUGCAAAGCCUAUGGUCUCCCUUAAAAUAUCCCACACCACCAAAAUAACCAAAUAAUGGGGCAGGGGAAGACUUUUAAUAGGAUGUCUUUUAAAAGGCUCUUCAAAGGGAGUUGUGUGUGUGUGAGAGAGGAUAUUGUGUAUCUUCACUGCCCUCAUUACUUACUCGCUUGUAAAUAUACUGUGUACUCACUCUGUCUGCUGCAAAAAUGAAUGAAAUGGAUACAGCCCUGUUCGGUUUUUGUUGUGGAGCGACACUCAUCAUGCAAUAAACAUAAUUGAUCUGAGUAGGUGGUUACAUGUAGGUCGCUCUGAAAGUAAUGCUUCCUAUUUAUUCCUGUGGAAACUAUAACAGAUACAAAGAGCACGGUAGCACUCAACAACAUGCAAUGGGAUAUUGGGAAGGUUCAGCCUGCACUGCCAUUCCACCAACAUCCGCCUGUGAUAUCAUGGGAC